Molecule: transfer RNA, 85 nt
Filed under: Felis catus (domestic cat)
Lineage: Eukaryota; Metazoa; Chordata; Mammalia; Carnivora; Felidae
Rfam family: tRNA
About the family: Transfer RNA (tRNA) molecules are approximately 80 nucleotides in length. Their secondary structure includes four short double-helical elements and three loops (D, anti-codon, and T loops).
Source: Rfam by way of RNAcentral
GCCUGGGUGGCUCAGUCGGUUAAGCACCUGACUUCGGCUCAGGUCAUGAUGUCAGGCUUCGUGAGUUCGAGCCCCGCAUCGGGCU